CGUGAUCGCGUGUCACUGGAGCAACAUACCCACGGGAAAGAAGGAAGGAAGAAGCCAGGCUGUAAAGUAAUAAAAGCACAGCAGAGCUGGCUGCGAGAGGAGAGAGAAGAAGAGACAGGCUGGCUGGAAAGGACAGCUCUGCUGAGCCCAGGAGAAAAUGGUUUGAGUAAUUAUCAACGCCUGCCGCUAUGUGGCCAGGAAAAUGAGGUCCCUUUGCAGCCGGGAGCACCAGGAGCCACCACCCUGCCCGGCACAAGCAACCGCACGCUGUCGUCACCAAAAUGUAAAGGCAGAGGGAUCAGCACCUCCCCAAGCAAGAGCCUCGCUUCCCAGGAACAGUGACGCCAUCCAAAUCCAGCCCUGUAGGUCCUGAGGGUAAAAGCCCUCAUGGUCUUCCCCUGAAGGCCACAAGCUUGCUUCCCACCAGUUUCCUCAGGGAAUCAAUUUUCUGUGAAUCCUUCACCCCAGGACUAGAAAAUAUCAGCAAAUCCCUACUUCAUCUGCUCUCAACAUAGAUAGAAACUGUCUUGAUCAAUCUCUUGUUAUCGGAAUUUUCUAGCUGGCAGAUGAAAAAAGAUUGGCAAUGUGUGUCGGAUGCUCCUGGCACCUUUGGGCCAUGGAGCACCAGCAGAAGAGCCAUUGUAUCCUAGCAGCAAAUUGGAUUUUUAUACCGUGAAACCAAAUUAUGCUCCUAAUAAUAAAGGUCUACAUUGAGAGUAUGUCCAUGAAGGCAAAAUCAGCUCAUGAGCUGCAUUAAGGAGUCUUAGAGAUUAGUUCUGAGGAAAUCCCGUGAUGUUUUGUACCAUCCCCUUCCCCAUGCCCAGUAAAGUGGUGAAGUUGUAAUACCGGGCAGCCAGCACCUCGGCAUGAUGCUCAGCACCCACAGAGCAGAGGGGUCACAGGGACGACUGUCAGAUCCCCCCUCCAGCAAACCCCACGCCGUCACAGAGAGCAAUGACAGCAGAAUCACAAACUCCGCACACGCGGGGAGGAAUCUGCCCGACCUUUUCGUGUGAUAGCCCAAGCUGAACCAGAAAUAAAGAUGGAUGAGAAAAG
Cuculus canorus (common cuckoo) is the source of this 1056-nucleotide long non-coding RNA. RefSeq lists it as uncharacterized. The record is from RefSeq and is a predicted model, not a curated record. The transcript has 3 exons. NCBI's taxonomy places the organism in Eukaryota, Metazoa, Chordata, Aves, Cuculiformes, Cuculidae.